RNAcentral lists this ribosomal RNA (366 nucleotides) under uncultured eukaryote. Its description in RNAcentral is "SSU rRNA". It matches the Rfam family "Eukaryotic small subunit ribosomal RNA", at positions 587 to 972 of the family's 1831-position model. The record is from RNAcentral.
AGCUCCAAUAGCGUAUAUUAAAGUUGUUGCAGUUAAAAAGCUCGUAGUCGAACUUCUGGCUGGCGUUGUCAAUGCUUCGGUGUUGGCACCGUGCAGUCAUCCUCUUGAGAACCUUCUGCACCUUCACUGGCUGUGGAUGGGUAUCAAGAACUUUACUUUGAAAAAAUUAGAGUGUUUCAGGCAGGCGAUUGCCCGAAUACAUUAGCAUGGAAUAAUGGAAUAGGACUUCUCCCAUUUUGUUGGUUAUUGGUUGAAGUAAUGAUUAAUAGGGACAGUUGGGGGCAUUAGUAUUUAAUUGUCAGAGGUGAAAUUCUUGGAUUUAUUAAAGACUAACUAAUGCGAAAGCAUUUGCCAAGGAUGUUUUCA